ACGGAAGGCAGCAGUGGGGAAUAUUGGGCAAUGGGGGAAACCCUGACCCAGCAACGCCGCGCGAAGGAAGAAGGUCUUCGGAUUGUAAACUUCUUUUAUGGGGGACGAACAAAUGACGGUACCUCAUGAAUAAGCCACGGCUAACUACGUGCCAGCAGCCGCGGUAAUACGUAGGUGGCAAGCGUUAUCCGGAUUUACUGGGUGUAAAGGGCGCGUAGGCGGGAAGGCAAGUCAGAUGUGAAAUCCAUGAGCUCAACUCAUGAACUGCAUUUGAAACUGUCUCUCUUGAGUGUCGGAGAGGUAGAUGGAAUUCCUAGUGUAGCGGUGAAAUGCGUAGAUAUUAGGAGGAACACCAGUGGCGAAGGCGGCUUUCUGGACUGUAACUGACGUUGAGGCACGAAAGUGUGGGGAGCAAACAGGAUUAGAUACCCUGGUA
This 436-nucleotide ribosomal RNA is filed under the name uncultured Clostridium sp. RNAcentral describes it as "partial 16S ribosomal RNA". It matches the Rfam family "Bacterial small subunit ribosomal RNA", at positions 341 to 792 of the family's 1533-position model. The record is from RNAcentral. Lineage: Bacteria; Bacillati; Bacillota; Clostridia; Eubacteriales; Clostridiaceae.